UGUGCCCAAAGCAGAUGUUGG
This 21-nucleotide non-coding RNA is filed under the name Caenorhabditis elegans. The record is from RNAcentral. Lineage: Eukaryota; Metazoa; Nematoda; Chromadorea; Rhabditida; Rhabditidae.